RNAcentral lists this long non-coding RNA (600 nucleotides) under Oryzias javanicus (javanese ricefish). RNAcentral's name for it is "lncRNA (ENSOJAG00000008823.1)". The record is from RNAcentral. Lineage: Eukaryota; Metazoa; Chordata; Actinopteri; Beloniformes; Adrianichthyidae.
AUGACAACAUUCUCCAACAAUAAAUCUCUUCUGGACAACAAAGAGGCUGUAGAAGCCCUUGUGAACUGUGAAUUUGCACCUGAGAUCCAAACAUUGUACGGUCCAACGCUCUGCACCAGCUUCAGCCUGGCUCGCAUCCAGCUAGUCCUGGCCCUCAGCAAGACACUAAGAGACCUUCCAGAUCCAGAUCCUGAAGAUUCAUGUGCUGCAAUCUUAGUGGCGUCUGAGUUCAGCGAACAGGAAAGACCGGACGAAGAACCAAAACCACUGAAGCAAAAACCUUUCACACUUUGUCAUGAAGGGAGUCAGCUCACAUCAGAAAGAAUUAAGAUGGUGUUACUGGAAGCAGCAUCUUCUCUGUUGACCUCCACCACAGAACAGCUGGUAUUGCUGGGCUGCAGUGAGGAGGAGAAGCUGGAGCUCACCGUGGAGUCCAGUCUUCUUAAAGCCAGCCUCCACCUACAGCAGGGACGUCCCAAACUCAGUUUUGAGGCAGCAGUUUCAUCUUUAGUCCUUCUACAAACAUCACCUGUGACUAUUGGAGCGUCCGACUCUAAACUUACAGAGGUUUUACAAGUUACAAUUACCACACAAAUCUGA